Molecule: ribosomal RNA, 513 nt
Filed under: uncultured bacterium
Lineage: Bacteria
Description: partial 16S ribosomal RNA
Rfam family: Bacterial small subunit ribosomal RNA
Source: RNAcentral
GAUGAACGCUGGCGGCGUGCCUAAUACAUGCAAGUCGAGCGGACCAAAGAGAGCUUGCUCUCUGAGGUUAGCGGCGGACGGGUGAGUAACACGUGGGUAACCUGCCUGUAAGACGGGGAUAACUUCGGGAAACCGAAGCUAAUACCGGAUGAUAAAGAGAAACGCCUGUUUCUUUUUUGAAAGUCGGCCUUGUGAUGACGCUUACAGAUGGGCCCGCGGCGCAUUAGCUAGUUGGUGAGGUAACGGCUCACCAAGGCGACGAUGCGUAGCCGACGUGAGAGGGUGAUCGGCCACACUGGGACUGAGACACGGCCCAGACUCCUACGGGAGGCAGCAGUAGGGAAUCUUCGGCAAUGGACGAAAGUCUGACCGAGCAACGCCGCGUGAGCGAUGAAGGCCUUCGGGUCGUAAAGCUCUGUUGUCAGAGAAGAACAAGUACCGGAGUAACUGCCGGUACCUUGACGGUACCUGACCAGAAAGCCACGGCUAACUACGUGCCAGCAGCCGCCGUAA